This is a long non-coding RNA of Patella vulgata (common limpet), 301 nucleotides long. RefSeq lists it as uncharacterized. The record is from RefSeq and is a predicted model, not a curated record. NCBI's taxonomy places the organism in Eukaryota, Metazoa, Mollusca, Gastropoda, Patellidae. The transcript is spliced from 3 exons.
AGUUUCUACAUAAGAAUCACAUUAUUCACAGAGAUCUGAAACCCGCCAAUAUAUUUCUUACAGAAGAUCAAACUAUAAAGGUUGGAGAUUUUGGAAUAUCGCGGUCCUUGGAAAGUACAUUGGCAAAAGCCCAAACCUACAUUGGAACGCCGCUUUAUAUGGCACCCGAAAUUCUAAAUUAUCAAGAAUAUAGCAAUAAGGCUGAUGUGUGGAGUUUUGGUUGUAUAUUUUAUGAACUUAUGUGCUUGAAGUACCCAUUUAAACUUACAACCAAAGAAGAAGAAAAUAUUCUAGAAAAUAU